GCGCAUCUGCUUUAACCUGCUACUGCUGCUCCAAUGGAAAAGAUUCUAACAAGGCCCAUUGCCUCACUAACUGACUCCACUUACAAGUCGUCAGUUGGCCAAGUGGUGUCGUACAUAUAGCGUGACAAACGUCUCUAGAAGGUGGACCAGUUCAUUUAAAAGGGUAGCCCACUCAAAACCGAUUCGAUUCUGCGCCACUAGGCCGACCUAGUACUCUGAUUGACUUCUCCGUAGCCCUUUGGAGGUAGGUGGAAGCGGUUCUACUUGGAAAUGAUCAGCUGCGGAGCAACGGCUUGGGUAAUGGUUUCGUUGGUGGUGUUCUUUGGAUCACUGAAUGUGAUGGGCUCUAAUGGUCUCAACGGGGCCACUCAGGAUGGAGGACCUCCCAUCGAUUGUGAAGAACUGGUUGUCUAUUACAAGGUGUUGGCAAAACAUUUCGAGGGGAAGUGUGGUAAUACCUGUCCCGAAAAUAUCCAGAAUGCGAUCAAAUGGUUUCGACGGGCGCAAGCCCAACUGGCAAGUGAAUGUUACUUUGAUGAGUAUGCUGACUGAUUCCGUUGAAUAAAUGUUGGAAAUGCUUAGUAUGAA
Long non-coding RNA from Aedes aegypti (yellow fever mosquito), 588 nucleotides. RefSeq lists it as uncharacterized. The transcript has 2 exons. The record is from RefSeq and is a predicted model, not a curated record. Lineage: Eukaryota; Metazoa; Arthropoda; Insecta; Diptera; Culicidae.